Molecule: ribosomal RNA, 2903 nt
Filed under: Escherichia coli
Lineage: Bacteria; Pseudomonadati; Pseudomonadota; Gammaproteobacteria; Enterobacterales; Enterobacteriaceae
Description: 23S ribosomal RNA
Rfam family: Bacterial large subunit ribosomal RNA
Source: RNAcentral
GGUUAAGCGACUAAGCGUACACGGUGGAUGCCCUGGCAGUCAGAGGCGAUGAAGGACGUGCUAAUCUGCGAUAAGCGUCGGUAAGGUGAUAUGAACCGUUAUAACCGGCGAUUUCCGAAUGGGGAAACCCAGUGUGUUUCGACACACUAUCAUUAACUGAAUCCAUAGGUUAAUGAGGCGAACCGGGGGAACUGAAACAUCUAAGUACCCCGAGGAAAAGAAAUCAACCGAGAUUCCCCCAGUAGCGGCGAGCGAACGGGGAGGAGCCCAGAGCCUGAAUCAGUGUGUGUGUUAGUGGAAGCGUCUGGAAAGGCGCGCGAUACAGGGUGACAGCCCCGUACACAAAAAUGCACAUAUUGUGAGCUCGAUGAGUAGGGCGGGACACGUGGUAUCCUGUCUGAAUAUGGGGGGACCAUCCUCCAAGGCUAAAUACUCCUGACUGACCGAUAGUGAACCAGUACCGUGAGGGAAAGGCGAAAAGAACCCCGGCGAGGGGAGUGAAAAAGAACCUGAAACCGUGUACGUACAAGCAGUGGGAGCACGCUUAGGCGUGUGACUGCGUACCUUUUGUAUAAUGGGUCAGCGACUUAUAUUCUGUAGCAAGGUUAACCGAAUAGGGGAGCCGAAGGGAAACCGAGUCUUAACUGGGCGUUAAGUUGCAGGGUAUAGACCCGAAACCCGGUGAUCUAGCCAUGGGCAGGUUGAAGGUUGGGUAACACUAACUGGAGGACCGAACCGACUAAUGUUGAAAAAUUAGCGGAUGACUUGUGGCUGGGGGUGAAAGGCCAAUCAAACCGGGAGAUAGCUGGUUCUCCCCGAAAGCUAUUUAGGUAGCGCCUCGUGAAUUCAUCUCCGGGGGUAGAGCACUGUUUCGGCAAGGGGGUCAUCCCGACUUACCAACCCGAUGCAAACUGCGAAUACCGGAGAAUGUUAUCACGGGAGACACACGGCGGGUGCUAACGUCCGUCGUGAAGAGGGAAACAACCCAGACCGCCAGCUAAGGUCCCAAAGUCAUGGUUAAGUGGGAAACGAUGUGGGAAGGCCCAGACAGCCAGGAUGUUGGCUUAGAAGCAGCCAUCAUUUAAAGAAAGCGUAAUAGCUCACUGGUCGAGUCGGCCUGCGCGGAAGAUGUAACGGGGCUAAACCAUGCACCGAAGCUGCGGCAGCGACACUAUGUGUUGUUGGGUAGGGGAGCGUUCUGUAAGCCUGCGAAGGUGUGCUGUGAGGCAUGCUGGAGGUAUCAGAAGUGCGAAUGCUGACAUAAGUAACGAUAAAGCGGGUGAAAAGCCCGCUCGCCGGAAGACCAAGGGUUCCUGUCCAACGUUAAUCGGGGCAGGGUGAGUCGACCCCUAAGGCGAGGCCGAAAGGCGUAGUCGAUGGGAAACAGGUUAAUAUUCCUGUACUUGGUGUUACUGCGAAGGGGGGACGGAGAAGGCUAUGUUGGCCGGGCGACGGUUGUCCCGGUUUAAGCGUGUAGGCUGGUUUUCCAGGCAAAUCCGGAAAAUCAAGGCUGAGGCGUGAUGACGAGGCACUACGGUGCUGAAGCAACAAAUGCCCUGCUUCCAGGAAAAGCCUCUAAGCAUCAGGUAACAUCAAAUCGUACCCCAAACCGACACAGGUGGUCAGGUAGAGAAUACCAAGGCGCUUGAGAGAACUCGGGUGAAGGAACUAGGCAAAAUGGUGCCGUAACUUCGGGAGAAGGCACGCUGAUAUGUAGGUGAAGCGACUUGCUCGUGGAGCUGAAAUCAGUCGAAGAUACCAGCUGGCUGCAACUGUUUAUUAAAAACACAGCACUGUGCAAACACGAAAGUGGACGUAUACGGUGUGACGCCUGCCCGGUGCCGGAAGGUUAAUUGAUGGGGUCAGCGCAAGCGAAGCUCUUGAUCGAAGCCCCGGUAAACGGCGGCCGUAACUAUAACGGUCCUAAGGUAGCGAAAUUCCUUGUCGGGUAAGUUCCGACCUGCACGAAUGGCGUAAUGAUGGCCAGGCUGUCUCCACCCGAGACUCAGUGAAAUUGAACUCGCUGUGAAGAUGCAGUGUACCCGCGGCAAGACGGAAAGACCCCGUGAACCUUUACUAUAGCUUGACACUGAACAUUGAGCCUUGAUGUGUAGGAUAGGUGGGAGGCUUGGAAGUGUGGACGCCAGUCUGCAUGGAGCCGACCUUGAAAUACCACCCUUUAAUGUUUGAUGUUCUAACGUUGACCCGUGAUCCGGGUUGCGGACAGUGUCUGGUGGGUAGUUUGACUGGGGCGGUCUCCUCCUAAAGAGUAACGGAGGAGCACGAAGGUUGGCUAAUCCUGGUCGGACAUCAGGAGGUUAGUGCAAUGGCAUAAGCCAGCUUGACUGCGAGCGUGACGGCGCGAGCAGGUGCGAAAGCAGGUCAUAGUGAUCCGGUGGUUCUGAAUGGAAGGGCCAUCGCUCAACGGAUAAAAGGUACUCCGGGGAUAACAGGCUGAUACCGCCCAAGAGUUCAUAUCGACGGCGGUGUUUGGCACCUCGAUGUCGGCUCAUCACAUCCUGGGGCUGAAGUAGGUCCCAAGGGUAUGGCUGUUCGCCAUUUAAAGUGGUACGCGAGCUGGGUUUAGAACGUCGUGAGACAGUUCGGUCCCUAUCUGCCGUGGGCGCUGGAGAACUGAGGGGGGCUGCUCCUAGUACGAGAGGACCGGAGUGGACGCAUCACUGGUGUUCGGGUUGUCAUGCCAAUGGCACUGCCCGGUAGCUAAAUGCGGAAGAGAUAAGUGCUGAAAGCAUCUAAGCACGAAACUUGCCCCGAGAUGAGUUCUCCCUGACUCCUUGAGAGUCCUGAAGGAACGUUGAAGACGACGACGUUGAUAGGCCGGGUGUGUAAGCGCAGCGAUGCGUUGAGCUAACCGGUACUAAUGAACCGUGAGGCUUAACCUU